Long non-coding RNA from Micropterus dolomieu (smallmouth bass), 919 nucleotides. RefSeq lists it as uncharacterized. The record is from RefSeq and is a predicted model, not a curated record. NCBI's taxonomy places the organism in Eukaryota, Metazoa, Chordata, Actinopteri, Centrarchiformes, Centrarchidae. The transcript has 3 exons.
GCUGGCCAAGUUUAACAGGCUGGUUUUGCAAUGCUUCGUUGCAAAUGCAUCACAAAUAAAGAACCCAGAUAGCAGCUGACUCUGGGCCGAAUCCGCCUCCAAACCGGCAGAUCCGUGUAACAGUCACGCCCGUUUUACUGCCCAGUUCCAGAUACGGCCCGCAUGUAGUCUGUGUACACUCAGGAGUGGGCGUGAGCAUCCACCAGUCGGCGGAAUCAUAAUAGUUAUGGCCCGGACUCGUCGGAAGGAGCGCGCGAAUUGUUUCUUUAUUUUUCUUUCGAACCGGUUCAUACCGGACCAGAAGUCAGUCGGCGGAAUCGUAGUUGUUCUGGCCCGGGGCCGUCGGAACGAGCGCGCGAACUGUUUGUCUUUCUUUGGAUCAGUUCGGACUGCAAGCUUUGGGGAAAGAGUUUAUAACGGUUCAAUCUUUUCUUCACCCCUGGCUGAGAGCUCGGGAUUAAUGGGGUAAGGCUUUGUACAUAACAAAAAUUGGAAAGGAGUAAAGGGAAAAGAAAUAUUUUAAAGAAAUGCUGACAAGAACUCUGUUGAUAAGUAAGUAUUUUAGUAUACGUAUUAUAUGUGGAGGUGACUAGUAGAUGAACUAGGAGGGCAAAAAAUCUAAAUAAUCAUUCAUUAGUUGUAAUCGCGGAAAAAUGUUCACUUAAUUGGGAUUUUGAUUUUAGGUCAAAUCUUCCAGCCCUAGUCUAGUCCAGCCCCCUUUAAAAUUACUAAUCUCUGUGGAUUUUAUGUAAUUUGUGAUUGCCAUUAUCAGUUGAGUAAUCACCCAUUCUUUUAUCCUUUGCAGAAAUGAACACAUCGGCCAUCCCCCACUCCACUCCACUACUGAUGAUUUGUUGGGUGUCAUGUGAGGGUUAUGGCAUUCCCACUUCUCCACUUGCCUCAUCAAUGUUUCCCGUAA